Molecule: non-coding RNA, 189 nt
Organism: Vicia faba (fava bean)
Lineage: Eukaryota; Viridiplantae; Streptophyta; Magnoliopsida; Fabales; Fabaceae
Source: the annotation of a GenBank genome assembly
AUGUUCCUUCAAAGACUUCAAACUCCCCCUGUCUGUGUAUUCUCCUUCGAUAUGUCCGCCGUUCACCUCCAUUCUCAGUCGUCUCUCUCUGCUUCAAUCACCAACUCUCUGCUACAACUAUACCUCAAUAUUCUCUUCUUCACCGAUUCCUUCUCCUAUUCCUCAAACCUAAACAAAUCUAGAAAAUAA